GAGUUUGAUCUUGGCUCAGAUUGAACGCUGGCGGCAUGCCUUACACAUGCAAGUCGAACGGCAGCACGGGAGCUUGCUCCUGGUGGCGAGUGGCGAACGGGUGAGUAAUGCAUCGGAACGUAUCCUGGAGUGGGGGAUAACGUAGCGAAAGUUACGCUAAUACCGCAUAUUCUGUGAGCAGGAAAGCGGGGGACCCUCGGGCCUCGCGCUCUUGGAGCGGCCGAUGUCGGAUUAGCUAGUUGGUGAGGUAAAGGCUCACCAAGGCGACGAUCCGUAGCAGGUCUGAGAGGAUGAUCUGCCACACUGGAACUGAGACACGGUCCAGACUCCCUACGGGAGGCAGCAGUGGGGAAUUUUGGACAAUGGGGGCAACCCUGAUCCAGCCAUGCUGCGUGAGUGAAGAAGGCCUCGGUUGUAAGUAC
This 422-nucleotide ribosomal RNA is filed under the name bacterium enrichment culture clone ALO1_GLFRUDD03FTLWO. RNAcentral's name for it is "bacterial SSU rRNA". It matches the Rfam family "Bacterial small subunit ribosomal RNA", at positions 9 to 431 of the family's 1533-position model. The record is from RNAcentral.